AACGAACGCUGGCGGCAUGCCUAACACAUGCAAGUCGAACGAGACCUUCGGGUCUAGUGGCGCACGGGUGCGUAACGCGUGGGAACCUGCCCUUAGGUUCGGAAUAACUCCCCGAAAGGGGUGCUAAUACCGGAUAAUGUCUUCGGACCAAAGAUUUAUCGCCUUUGGAUGGGCCCGCGUUGGAUUAGCUAGUUGGUAGGGUAAAAGCCUACCAAGGCGACGAUCCAUAGCUGGUCUGAGAGGAUGAUCAGCCACACUGGGACUGAGACACGGCCCAGACUCCUACGGGAGGCAGCAGUGGGGAAUAUUGGACAAUGGGCGAAAGCCUGAUCCAGAAAGGCCGCGGGGGUGAUGAAGGCCUUGGGGUUGUAAAGCUCUUUUCCCCGGGAUGAUAAUGACAGUACCGGGAGAAUAAGCCCCGGCUAACUCCGU
Molecule: ribosomal RNA, 432 nt
Filed under: uncultured bacterium
Lineage: Bacteria
Description: partial 16S ribosomal RNA
Rfam family: Bacterial small subunit ribosomal RNA
Source: RNAcentral